CACGCCUGCCGCAAGAUGCUGCUCCUGCUGCUGAGCGCUGUGCUAAUUCCAGAUCCUGGCUCUGGGGCACUGGGACUCAACAGCACGACAGCUCAGCCGGAGGCCCCCCAACCUGACGGUGCCCCGCUCUGCGCCCCCCAGGCUGUGAGAUCAUCCACCCACCGCGGGACGGGGGGAUCCG
This is a non-coding RNA of Caretta caretta (loggerhead turtle), 181 nucleotides long. NCBI's taxonomy places the organism in Eukaryota, Metazoa, Chordata, Testudines, Cheloniidae. The record is from RefSeq and is a predicted model, not a curated record.